GCUCUCUUUGGCAGGACACAUACUAGAAUUGGAACUAUGCAGAGGAGAUUAGCAUGGCUUCUGUGCAAGGAUGACAAGUAAAUUCAUGAUACGUUUCACAUUUUU
Small nuclear RNA from Diceros bicornis minor, 105 nucleotides. The record is from RefSeq and is a predicted model, not a curated record. NCBI's taxonomy places the organism in Eukaryota, Metazoa, Chordata, Mammalia, Perissodactyla, Rhinocerotidae.